Long non-coding RNA from Perognathus longimembris pacificus (Pacific pocket mouse), 688 nucleotides. RefSeq lists it as uncharacterized. NCBI's taxonomy places the organism in Eukaryota, Metazoa, Chordata, Mammalia, Rodentia, Heteromyidae. The record is from RefSeq and is a predicted model, not a curated record. The transcript has 3 exons.
UAGUGCGGGAGGAAGACUGGUGUGUAGGGCUCGCCGGGCAGGCAGGAAGCAGCAGCCGGAGGCGGAGGCGGGCCGGUUACCCGCCUGCUGCCGGGAGCGAGCCGGGUGGCCGGGAAAGACGAACGCCCGAACACCACCAUGAUCCCGCUGGAGAAGCCCGGCAGCGGCCGCCCCUCGUCGGCCGCCGCCUCCGGCUUGGGCCCGGUCAGCAGGGGUCGGACGGUACGUCACCGUCCGCCGCCCCAGGCUCGAGGGUUGCUGACGGAGAUCCGCGCCGCGGUGCGCACCGAGCCCUUCCAGGACAGCUAAAGUGAGCCCGGGCCGGGAGCUGGGCAGGGGGAAAUUUGCAGUGGUGAGAAAAUGUGUAAAGAAAGAUUCUGGAAAAGAAUUUGCAGCACAGUUCAUGAGAAAAAGAAGAAAAGGCCAAGACUGUCGGAUGGAAAUUAUUCAUGAGAUUGCGGUGCUCGAGCUGGCCCAGGACAGCCCUUGGGUCAUUAACUUACAUGAAGUCUAUGAGACUCCAUCAGAAAUGAUCUUGGUUCUGGAAUAUGCUGCAGGGGGUGAAAUCUUUGAUCAGUGUGUCGCAGACCGAGAAGAUGCCUUUAAAGAAAAAGAUGUGCAGAGACUCAUGCGACAGAUUUUAGAAGGUGUGCACUUUCUACACACUCAUGAUGUAGUUCAUCUUGAU